GAUGCGAGUGUGUAUGUGCGGGCGAGAAGAUGGCGGCGGCGGGGGAAGCAGCGUGAGCAGCCGGAGGAUCGCAGAGUCCCAAUGAAACGGGCAGCCAUGGCCCUCCACAGCCCGCAGCUCCUGGGCCAUGAUCCCAUUUUCAUCAGAUGACUUGAGAACCCAGAAACUCUACCAGCACUGCCAUUCUGUCCCGUCUUGAAACAUCAUGCCCUGGUUGCCCUCUCCUGGAAUAGGGCUGAUAUGCCAGUUCCUCCUGGACUCCUCAGACUGGAAGAUUGUCCUUUCUCCUUGGCAAAUCAUCUGUACUAUCUGAUUGCAUCUUACAGUCUUCUUUAAAUAUUAUUGUUCCUUAACUGUUAAUGUGUCUGUGCCUUGAGGUCAGCCUCAGGUUCCAAUCCUGUUCCAUUUUGUUUGGGGAAUCUCAGGCAAGGUUGGUUUCUCUGAACUUUUAAAGUUUUUUCAUCUUCAUUCAGCAAAUCUUUAUUAGAUUCUCAGUAUUGUGCUUCAGUGGACGAAAUACAGACUGACACAAGGAGAUAACAGUUCAUUCACAGAGACAUAGUAUGUUUGG
Molecule: small RNA, 571 nt
Filed under: Pan troglodytes (chimpanzee)
Lineage: Eukaryota; Metazoa; Chordata; Mammalia; Primates; Hominidae
Description: processed transcript
Source: RNAcentral